Molecule: ribosomal RNA, 722 nt
Filed under: uncultured delta proteobacterium
Lineage: Bacteria; Deltaproteobacteria
Description: bacterial SSU rRNA
Rfam family: Bacterial small subunit ribosomal RNA
Source: RNAcentral
AGAGUUUGAUCCUGGCUCAGAAUGAACGCUGGCGGCGUGCUUAACACAUGCAAGUCGAACGAGAAAGGGAUUGCUUGCAAUCCUGAGUAGAGUGGCGCACGGGUGAGUAACACGUAGAUAAUCUACCUUUGAGUUCGGGAUAACACUUCGAAAGGGGUGCUAAUACCGGAUGACAUCAAUUAAUUUUCGGAUUGAUUGAUCAAAGAUGGCCUCUGCAUGCAAGCUAUUGCUUGGAGAUGAGUCCGCGUACCAUUAGCUUGUUGGCGGGGUAAUGGCCCACCAAGGCGACGAUGGUUAGCUGGUCUGAGAGGAUGAUCAGCCACACUGGCACUGACACACGGGCCAGACUCCUACGGGAGGCAGCAGUGAGGAAUUUUGCGCAAUGGGGGAAACCCUGACGCAGCAACGCCGCGUGAGUGAUGAAGGCCUUCAGGUCGUAAAGCUCUGUCAAGUGGGAAGAACCCUUGCAGUCGGAUAAUGGCUGUGAGCUGACGGUACCACUGAAGGAAGCACCGGCUAACUCCGUGCCAGCAGCCGCGGUAAUACGGAGGGUGCAAGCGUUAUUCGGAAUUACUGGGCGUAAAGGGCGCGCAGGCGGCCAUGUAAGUCAGUUGUGAAAGCCCGGGGCUCAACCCCGGAAGUGCAGCUGAAACUGUGUGGCUUGAGUAUGGUAGAGGGAAGUGGAAUUCCAGGUGUAGCGGUGAAAUGCGUAGAUAUCUGGA